AGAGUUUGAUCCUGGCUCAGAAUCAACGCUGGCGGCGCGCUUAACACAUGCUNGUCGAACGAGAAAGUGGAGCAAUCCAUGAGUAAAGUGGCGUACGGGUGAGUAACACGUGGGUGAUCUACCUUUUAGUGAGGAAUAACGAUGGGAAACCGUCGCUAAUACCGCAUAAGCCCCUAAUCCGGAAGGAAAGGCGGGGAAAGUCGCAAGACGCUGAAAGAGGAGCCCGCGGCCGAUUAGCUAGUUGGUGAGGUAAGAGCCCACCAAGGCAGAGAUCGGUAGCCGGCCUGAGAGGGCACACGGCCACACUGGCACUGAAACACGGGCCAGACUCCUACGGGAGGCAGCAGUGGGGAAUCUUGCACAAUGGGGGAAACCCUGAUGCAGCGACGCCGCGUGAGCGAUGAAGCCCUUCGGGGUGUAAAGCUCUUUCGUCA
RNAcentral lists this ribosomal RNA (434 nucleotides) under uncultured bacterium. Its description in RNAcentral is "bacterial SSU rRNA". It matches the Rfam family "Bacterial small subunit ribosomal RNA", at positions 8 to 441 of the family's 1533-position model. The record is from RNAcentral.